Molecule: ribosomal RNA, 421 nt
Filed under: uncultured bacterium
Lineage: Bacteria
Description: partial 16S ribosomal RNA
Rfam family: Bacterial small subunit ribosomal RNA
Source: RNAcentral
AAUAUUGGAUAAUGGGGGUAAUCCUAUCCUAGCCAGCCUGCCCCGCUGAGGAAGGUCUUCGGCUGGUAAAGACCUCUAUGUCGGCGGGAAGGGUUUAGGACUAUUCCUCUGAACUCUGAUCGUAACAACCAGAUUAAGCACCGGCGAGCACCGUGCUGGCACCCGCGGUAAUACAGAGGGUGCAACCGUUAAGCGGAAUUACUGGGCGUAAAGCGCGCGUAGGUGGUUCAGUAAGAUGGGUGUGAAAUCCCCGGGCUUAACCUGGGAACUGCUUUCAUAACUGCUGAGCUAGAGUACGGUAGAGGGUAGUGGAAUUUCCUGUGUAGCGGUGAAAUGCGUAGAUAUAGGAAGGAACACCAGUGGCGAAGGCGACUAACUGGACUGAUACUGACACUGAGGUGCGAAAGCGUGGGGAGCAAAC